GUGUUACAGGCAGAGCCUAUUCUUAUGGGGUUCAUAUUUAUGCUACCACGAUUUUAGGUUCAAGUGAUAGAACUUUAAAACUUUGGAGAGGAAGCAAAUGUACACAUACUUUUGUUGGGCAUACAGAUCAAAUAUAGGCUGAUGCACUUGUUCUGAGGGGGAUCAGUUGCACAUUUGAGGAAGGGCACAAAAUACGUAUUGUUGGCAGAAUUGGUAGUGGCAAGACCACUCUCAUAGAGAUGAACUUGUUUUGUCCAGUGGAGCUAGCUAGAGGGAAGAUAUAGUAAUGUAUCUAUUGAAACCUGUAGUAUUCCAUGUAAUGUUCACUUUUUACGUAACUUUUAAAUUUUAAGUGUUCAUUUUUUUUUUCUAAUUCAGAAUAAUAUUACAAGGUACAUCAUAAUUUUAGGGUUUUAUUUACUGUGUUUGGGAUUCAAGAACCUUUAUAUAGCUGUGUUAUUUGUUUUUU
Molecule: long non-coding RNA, 469 nt
Organism: Quercus robur (English oak)
Lineage: Eukaryota; Viridiplantae; Streptophyta; Magnoliopsida; Fagales; Fagaceae
Exons: 2
Source: RefSeq, a predicted model, not a curated record